ACGUAACGGUCCCCUUACCUCGGUACAUCCAAGACAGGUGGUGCAUGGUUGUCGUCAGCUCGUGUCGUGAGAUGUUGGGUUAAGUCCCGCAACGAGCGCAACCCUUAUCUUCAGUAGCCAGCAGGUAAAGCCGGGCACUCUGGAGAGACUGCCGGGGAUAACCCGGAGGAAGGUGGGGAUGACGUCAAAUCAUCAUGCCCCUUAUGAUUUGGGCUACACACGUGCUACAAUGGCGUGAACAGAGGGAAGCGAGCCCGCGAGGGGGAGCAAAUCCCAAAAAUAACGUCCCAGUUCGGAUUGUAGUCUGCAACCCGACUACAUGAAGCUGGAAUCGCUAGUAAUCGCGGAUCAGAAUGCCGCGGUGAAUACGUUCCCGGGUCUUGUACACACCGCCCGUCACACCAUGGGAGUCGGAAAUGCCCGAAGUCUGUGACCUAACCGCAAGGGAGGAGCAGCCGAAGGCAGGUCGGAUGACUGGGGUGAAGUCGUAACAAGGUAGCCGUAUCGGAA
RNAcentral lists this ribosomal RNA (510 nucleotides) under uncultured bacterium. RNAcentral's name for it is "bacterial SSU rRNA". It matches the Rfam family "Bacterial small subunit ribosomal RNA", at positions 1000 to 1510 of the family's 1533-position model. The record is from RNAcentral.